Molecule: long non-coding RNA, 4069 nt
Filed under: Marmota monax (woodchuck)
Lineage: Eukaryota; Metazoa; Chordata; Mammalia; Rodentia; Sciuridae
Source: RNAcentral
GGGAAUUCAGGUGAACAUAGGGGAGUCUAGAAUCUUCACUAUUACCUGUAUUAAACACUGACAACACUUUUCGUAACCUGCCAUGGACACUAUGGGCCCCAUGGAUGUAGUUUGUUUCUUGAUACCCUGAGGUGUGGGUGUAGGGUCCCUAUAAUCCAUGCUGAUAACCCCACUCAACUACAUAGCACCCUAUGCAAGAGAGAAGGGCUGAUGGCUCAUCAAGCUGUAUCUUGUUGGGAAUAGUUCAAGUUUUAAUUGUCUCACUGAAAAUAUUAGCUUCUUCAUGGAAAUUGUCCCCAAAAUGCCAAUUAGAAAGCAACAGGAGGUGUAGAGUGAUGUUCUUGUCAAGGGAACUUUGUGAAGAGAGGUCUUUUCUACCUUGCUUUCCUCUGGCUUCCUCUUCCAUCUUACAGUUUUUAUAGGACUCUCCCGCAAAGCAUGUACUAGUGGGAGGGUCCCAGUGUGGCUUUUUCCAUACUCAGCAUCUUCAUUUAAAGGCAUGCACCAGAGCACACCUGCUCGGCACCAACCCACGUCUGGACUUUUAGACUUCACAGUGUCAUGCUCUGGGGAUACGCUGAACAAUCCUGCAUGUGACUACCAUGUAUGCUGUUUCCUGAAUAUAGUUUUCAAGACUUCCUGGUAGUAAAUGUAGAAGGUGAUCUAGAGAGAACCUGAAGUUUUUAGCCAUGUUGGUAGGUGGACAGCUUGUACUUUUAGCAGUUUUUCAAGAUGAAGCUAUAACAGAGUGAUUGCUGAGAGAUCCUGGGAAAUGUAUGCUUCCAUGACUAGCCACAGUAGUGGCAACUCUAGAACAAUAAGAAUGAGCUCUUAGAGCUAUUGGAAGCCAGGAGGAAGCACCAGGCAACUGCUCGGCUCUCCUAUUCUCCAGGAAGCAAAAGAAAUUCAUAUCCUGCCAAUUGACAGGGGAAAACAAGUUUUCUUUUUAGGGGUUUUUGGAUUGCACAGAACUGGUUAAAGUGAGAGUGGGAAUAGUAAAUUAAGUGGUAAAUGUAUAAGCCACAGGUCCUCUGCAGCAUUCAAAACUGGAGCCCAAGUGACAACCAGAAAAAUCUCUGUGAAGGGAUUCAAAGUAAGUCUGCUCCUUAAGACUUGGUUGCUAAUAAUUUACCCUCUGGAAUACUACAAAAUGAGUGAAGACCAGCACUUCCAUAAAAGCAGCCUCACAUGUCCCAUAUUCAGAUUAGGGUUGAUAGAGUAAAACUGUCCUGUGUCACAUCUGUGUUGGGUAGAAAAGUUUUUCUAACACUGGAUGCUAUCUUGUCUUUCAGCUUACAUUUUACUAUGGUGCCACAGAUCGCUGGUGUCCAAAAAAGUACUAUGAAGACAUCAAGAAAGAUUUUCCAGAAGGAGAUAUUCGACUCUGUGAGAAAAAAAUACCUCAUGCUUUUAUCCUCCAUUUUAGCCAGGAAAUAGCUGACAUGGUUGCUAACUGGCUGAAAGAUAAUCUGUUCAAAAUAUAAACACUAUGCAGGAAACAAGCACCUACAGCCAGAUCAUGGAGGCAGUAGAUUAACUAUGCUUAAAAGAUUAAAUAUUACUUUUGAUCUUUAAUGUUAGAAAGAAAAAAGUGAGAACUUCUUGGCUUAAAAACUCCCAGCUCCCUGUCUAAAAGCUGAAGUGAACACGUGGUGAAUCAUUCCAUAGCAUCAAUGGCACACUUUCCAAGACUCUGGAACACCGUGAUCCACACAAGGACUCCCCUUUGCUUAAGAGUCCAGUGGCACCAUGUGAUGUAUUUUAGUCAACGGGAUUCUUGCAGACAAAAGAAAAAUCUAAAUUUAGGUGACUUUAAUUAAGUUACCUUGUAGAACAGGUUUUUCUGGAGGAAAUUAUGAAAUACUUAAAUGAAAAUGUAAGAGAUAUACUGAAAUGAAAAUAAAUAAGUAAUUGUGAGAAUAUAGAAGAGACCAGUGAAUAUGAAGAGUGUGGUCAGUUAUGUGAAGUGUACGAGUUCACAACAAGGAUGCAGGAAGUGAUGAGCAGUGGAUAUUGGCAGUGAACAUGGAUGGAAGGUGAGAGUGAGUCCAGUCUACCUUAGCACAAGUCUCACCUGAGAUCAUUAGGGUGACAUCGUGAUCUGCCUGCAUUAGACCAAGAAUAAAGUUCACCACAGUAUUCUGGUCAACUAAACAGAUGAAAAGUCGUUGAAGAAUCCCAACUCUGCCUCUUGUCACAGGGCAGCCAGCAAGCCGUGUAUGGAGCCUUAACUUUCCAGGUGAUGGUCCCCCUGCAGUCCCCUCACCUCCUAAGCCAGCAAGGGGAGGCUCUGGACAGUCCCAGUCAGAUCUGUAUGGGCCCAUGUGCAGUUGCUCCUUCUAUGUUGAAGACCAACAGUGAGCCAAGUACUUCGCUAGCCCUUGGUGAGAAUAAGGGUCUUAACUACUGUGCAUUCUUGUGAAAAUCUCCUAGUAAAUAAUUUGGGGGAAGGCAUUUUAAAAUUCUGAGUACAGUAUUAGCAUAAAUUGGUUCUCCAUUUGCAUUAACAUUAUUUGUUGGGAAUAGGUUAUUUUGCUAACAAACCAAAGUAAGCCAUUAAAUUAUGUGAUUUCAACUUUUCUGGACACAUGGAGGUCUAGUAGAGAGAAGCAGGUUCUCUGGCUGAGAACUGUAUCCUGAGACCUUAGGAGCCAAGAAGUCCCACAGUUGCAGUGACAGUUGAUGACCAAUCAGAAACAUUCCAGUUUUCUUCUAAAGGAAAGCCCUCUGGGCAUUAUCAUGCUUUAAGGACAAUGAGAUAACUCUCCUUCCUCUCAAUACCUAAGGCCCCCUAAUAAAAGAUCCAGCUCCAGUGUGCUGCCAGCCCUGUGGUGUGUGUUGAAUGAGUUACUGUCCUUUGGCCUGGCUUCUGCAUCAGAGCAAAUGGAGCAAAUGAUGCAGAGGGGGAAAGCCAAGCUCCACACAAGGAGUGUUAUUACUGCAAGGAGAAGAGCCCUUAGAUACACCUGCUGUGGGCACAGGGCUCCACACAAGUCCUCAUCAGCAUCUGCAUGGGGCCUUCUGGAAAGCUGACAUUAGAAGCUUGGACUUGUGGCUCUGAGUCCUAUAUACAGUAGGUCCCUAAUAGCACUAAAUCACUCACAUAAACAAGAACUGGUAAAUCAGACCUACUUUAUUAAAAAGUAACAUCCACACCUUUUUUUAAAAAUACUCUGUAUUUCAGACGUCUACUCAUACAAAAUUGUAUAAUUUUUAAUUUUUAGAGCUUAGAGAGAUAUGGGCUCUUAAUUCCUGCUUAUCAUCUAAACACCAGUGAAUUUUCAAAAUAAAUGUUUUUGUGACCUUGUCUGGCCUGAUUUCUGUGUUGGGGAGAGAGUAUACAGUUUAAGAAGUUUGCCCAAGUUACAUUGGGAUUGAAGUCUCACUAUUAAAGUAAAAAACCACUUUCUUGUUGCUUCUUUUAAAGAAGGAAGAAUCGGAUUCCAGGGGAUUAUAAAGUCCACUUUCUUUCAUUAGGAAUUACAUAGAAGACAAAAAUCAAUGAACAGUGGAUGUAAUCCACUUUUUAGAAGUUCUGCCUAUAUGUUUCAGGCAGCCACAAGGAUGGUCUUUGUCAAAGAUUUACCAUCUGCCAGGUGUGUUGGUGCAAAUCUGUAACUCCAGCAACUUGAGAGGCUAAAGCAGGAGGAUUGUAGGUUUGAGGCCAGCCUCAGCAACUUAGCAAGUCCCUAAGCAAUUUAAUGAGACCCUGUCUCAAAAUAAAAAAUAAUAAGGGGCUGGGGAUGUAGCUCAGUUGUAAAGUGGGACCAAAAAAUAAUAAUAAUAAAACAAAAAACUUCUUAGAAAGCUAAGCUGUCUAAAUACUGAAUGAAAAGUGUCAGCUGGAGCCUUGACUCACAGUGUCAUGAGAGAAGCUCCAGAGGCAGUCCCCUGCAGCUCCAAUGGCCUAUGUCCAAGAUUGCCAGAGCCACUGGCCAUCGCUUCUGUACUCAAUGCCUGAAGAGCCAGUGACCUCAAAAGCCUUGAUUUUUCUUCAUCAUACAUUAUAUUAAAACAAAAGCAAUCUCAGACUAUAAGAGACUAAAAGAGACAUAACCUGACAGGACAC